Molecule: ribosomal RNA, 497 nt
Filed under: uncultured bacterium
Lineage: Bacteria
Description: partial 16S ribosomal RNA
Rfam family: Bacterial small subunit ribosomal RNA
Source: RNAcentral
GAUGAACGCUGGCGGCGUGCCUAAUACAUGCAAGUCGAGCGAACGGACGAGAAGCUUGCUUCUCUGAUGUUAGCGGCGGACGGGUGAGUAACACGUGGAUAACCUACCUAUAAGACUGGGAUAACUUCGGGAAACCGGAGCUAAUACCGGAUAAUAUUUUGAACCGCAUGGUUCAAAAGUGAAAGACGGUCUUGCUGUCACUUAUAGAUGGAUCCGCGCUGCAUUAGCUAGUUGGUAAGGUAACGGCUUACCAAGGCAACGAUGCAUAGCCGACCUGAGAGUAUGAUCGGCCAGACCAGAACUAGAACACGGUCCUAACUCCGACGGGAGGCAGCAGUCGGCAAUCUUGCGCGAUGGGCGGAGGCCUGACGGAACAACGCCGCGUGAGUGAUGGAGGUCUUCGGAUCGUAAAACUCUGUUAUUAGAGAAGAAAAUAUGUGUAAGAAACUGUGCACAGCUUGACGGUACCUAAUCAGAAGGCCACGGCUAACUACGUG